AUCGCUUCUCGGCCUUUUGGCUAAGAUCAAGUGUAGUAUCUGUUCUUAUCAGUUUAAUAUCUGAUAUGUUCUCUAUUUGAGAACUGNAUAUUAAAUGAGUUUUUGGACCUAGGAGUUGGAAAAGGGGCUUGCUCCGUCCGCUCCAUGCAUCAACCUGGUAUUGCAGUAUCUCCAGGAAUGGUGCANCUCCC
This 191-nucleotide small nuclear RNA is filed under the name Salvator merianae (Argentine black and white tegu). Its description in RNAcentral is "U2 spliceosomal RNA (ENSSMRG00000011544.1)". It matches the Rfam family "U2 spliceosomal RNA". Rfam says of the family: U2 is a small nuclear RNA (snRNA) component of the spliceosome (involved in pre-mRNA splicing). Complementary binding between U2 snRNA (in an area lying towards the 5' end but 3' to hairpin I) and the branchpoint sequence (BPS) of the intron results the bulging out of an unpaired adenosine, on the BPS, which initiates a nucleophilic attack at the intronic 5' splice site, thus starting the first of two transesterification reactions that mediate splicing. Lineage: Eukaryota; Metazoa; Chordata; Lepidosauria; Squamata; Teiidae. The record is from RNAcentral.